RNAcentral lists this transfer RNA (90 nucleotides) under Betaproteobacteria bacterium. Its description in RNAcentral is "tRNA-Ser". It matches the Rfam family "tRNA". From Rfam's summary of the family: Transfer RNA (tRNA) molecules are approximately 80 nucleotides in length. Their secondary structure includes four short double-helical elements and three loops (D, anti-codon, and T loops). Further hydrogen bonds mediate the characteristic L-shaped molecular structure. tRNAs have two regions of fundamental functional importance: the anti-codon, which is responsible for specific mRNA codon recognition, and the 3' end, to which the tRNAs corresponding amino acid is attached (by aminoacyl-tRNA synthetases). tRNAs cope with the degeneracy of the genetic code in two manners: having more than one tRNA (with a specific anti-codon) for a particular amino acid; and 'wobble' base-pairing, i.e. permitting non-standard base-pairing at the 3rd anti-codon position. Lineage: Bacteria; Pseudomonadati; Pseudomonadota; Betaproteobacteria. The record is from RNAcentral.
GGAGAGUUGGCAGAGCGGUUUAAUGCGGCGGUCUUGAAAACCGUUGGCCAUGCAAGUGACCCGGGGGUUCGAAUCCCUCACUCUCCGCCA